This 90-nucleotide transfer RNA is filed under the name Pseudomonadota bacterium. Its description in RNAcentral is "Proteobacteria bacterium (cold seep metagenome) tRNA-Ser". It matches the Rfam family "tRNA". Rfam says of the family: Transfer RNA (tRNA) molecules are approximately 80 nucleotides in length. Lineage: Bacteria; Pseudomonadati; Pseudomonadota. The record is from RNAcentral. RNAcentral also lists the same sequence under 1 other name.
GGAGAGGUGGCUGAGUGGUUGAAAGCGGCGGUCUCGAAAACCGUUGGGGGUUUACGCCCUCCGCAGGUUCGAAUCCUGUCCUCUCCGCCA